CAGCAGCCGCGGGAAUACAGAGGGUGCAAGCGUUAAUCGGAAUUACUGGGCGUAAAGCGCGCGUAGGUGGUUUGUUAAGUUGGAUGUGAAAGCCCCGGGCUCAACCUGGGAACUGCAUCCAAAACUGGCAAGCUAGAGUACGGUAGAGGGUGGUGGAAUUUCCUGUGUAGCGGUGAAAUGCGUAGAUAUAGGAAGGAACACCAGUGGCGAAGGCGACCACCUGGACUGAUACUGACACUGAGGUGCGAAAGCGUGGGGAGCAAACAGGAUUAGAUACCCGAGUAGUCCCUGUCUCUUAUAA
Molecule: ribosomal RNA, 301 nt
Filed under: uncultured bacterium
Lineage: Bacteria
Description: partial 16S ribosomal RNA
Rfam family: Bacterial small subunit ribosomal RNA
Source: RNAcentral